GAGACACCUUGAUGGGGCAGGACUUGCUUCAGUGGGGCUUUGGAGCUCACUGAGUCUCUCCCCUGAGUGUUUCUUU
Molecule: microRNA precursor, 76 nt
Filed under: Myotis lucifugus (little brown bat)
Lineage: Eukaryota; Metazoa; Chordata; Mammalia; Chiroptera; Vespertilionidae
Description: mir-9229 microRNA precursor family
Rfam family: mir-9229 microRNA precursor family
Source: Rfam by way of RNAcentral